Molecule: long non-coding RNA, 584 nt
Filed under: Nicotiana tabacum (common tobacco)
Lineage: Eukaryota; Viridiplantae; Streptophyta; Magnoliopsida; Solanales; Solanaceae
Description: long non-coding RNA (NTAB_LNC014544)
Source: RNAcentral
GUUCCAAAAAUAUCAGAGAAAAUCUAAACCUUCAAUUCUGAUUGGUGGCUAUAAAUUGAUGUGGCAGAUACUUCCAUAAAAAACUAUCUUAUCCAACCCCUACUUUCAUAUCCAAAAUGACAUUAUUAUUUUGUCUCAAAUCACUGUUACAGCCCUCAAUUCCACUGUAUAUAUAACUGACCAAAACUUUGCCAAUAUCAGUAGUUCAAACACUUCUUUUAAUAUCUUUAGCUGACUUUAGACCAACCCCUUUUAUUUUCUUGAACAUUUUCAUGGCUCUUCAGGCUGCUGCUUUGGUUCCUUCUGCUUUCUCCAUUUCCAAAGAGGUAAUAUUUUCCGUCAAGAAAAUAUGUUGCUCGGAUUCUUCAAAAAUAUUGUGGUGUCGGAUCCUCCAAAAGUAGUGCAUAUUUGGAACUUUUGGAGGAUUUGACGCGCCACAGUAUUUUUGGAGAGUUCGAGCAACAUAAUACAUUGCUUUGCUUGUAUUUUAGUCUGCAAUUGGAAUCUGAAGCUACAUUACUAAUUCUUUCUUUUACUCAUUUUGUAAUUUUGCAGGGCAAAGCUAGUGCAAACUUGAAGAAUUC